Regulatory RNA element from Candidatus Ishikawaella capsulata Mpkobe, 117 nucleotides. It matches the Rfam family "Ribosomal S15 leader". From Rfam's summary of the family: The E. coli Ribosomal S15 gene 5' UTR can form two alternative structures. One that is a series of three hairpins, The other includes a pseudoknot. The record is from Rfam. Lineage: Bacteria; Pseudomonadati; Pseudomonadota; Gammaproteobacteria; Enterobacterales; Enterobacteriaceae.
AAAAAUUGCUGAAUUAUAGAUCAGCAACAUAUAUUGAUUCAUAACAGGAGUAGACUAUUUAUGUCUCUUAUUUUGAAAAAUAAAUCAGAUAUUAUUAUUAAAUACGGUAGAAAUGCU